Molecule: long non-coding RNA, 1615 nt
Organism: Venturia canescens
Lineage: Eukaryota; Metazoa; Arthropoda; Insecta; Hymenoptera; Ichneumonidae
Exons: 2
Source: RefSeq, a predicted model, not a curated record
UCAUUUCUCACGGAGUGAUCUCGGGUCUCGAAUCACGACGAUCUUGCUCACCCUACCUAUGUAUAUCCCCGGCUUGAGAAAGCUCUUUUUUCGUUUCACGGUAUAUUUCACAUCAUAUACAUCUCUCCGUUUCUGGCGAUGUCGAAGGGUCUGCUAAAUGUGUGCUUGAUUUUUUCGUCUUAACUCGAAGCAUCGAUGUGUUUAACGGACAAAAAACCUGUCUCGCAUAAUUGCAAUAUCGGUCACAGAUCUCGCGCAAGUCGUUCUGUCUCGAGACCUGCCUCGCUUUGGACAAAAGACAAACAGAGAGGGACAGAGACCUGUUCAGACAGAACCCUCCGUUUUUCACGUCAACGCUACGCUACGCCGAGAUCGAAACGAGAACGGGACGAAGACAGAAACAGCGAGAGAUAAAGGAAGAGAGAAUGAGAACGACACGGAGGCGAAGACGAGUCCUGGCGCCUGCAGGAGGUCCGGUAGACCCUACGUAUUUUGUUAAAAUAACACAAUGACCAAACGCCGGCUUCUGGAUUAUGUUCAAUUUAAAAAAAAAACUUAUUUUAAAACCGUCGAAGUCAUUGACUGCACUGCAUCAUAUAAAAUGGUCUCGCAUUUUGCCUCUGGGAUGAGAAAACGUGACCCAAAAGUUGAGUUUUUUUACAUAUAAAAUAUGAAAAAUCGAGAAAAUUUUAUAACCCGGGUGACAGCUCAACAUUUUGAGAACAGACAGCAAUUGCUUCAUGUAUUUUCAUAGGAAUUUGCCCGGAUUUGUAUGAAAAAAAUGACAUUUCGUAUUCGGCGUUGCCCCCGGAAUUUUUUUCGCCGAAAAUGUAAGAAAAAGCAUAACAAUUUUGGUAGAAGCGAGAAAAGAGGGAGUCUCGUAUUACGGAAGAAAACUGUAGUCUGUCAUUGAUAGAUUUCGACAAAGAAUCCCAUAUACGGGGUUGGUGAGCUCGGUAAAUCGAAGUUGUAAAAAAAAUAUUUGGAAUCGAAGUAUGAGGAUCUCGUAGAGAAGGAAGCAACAAAAGGAUAGCUUGAGAUCGAUCGUUUUGUUUUUUUCCCGUUCCAAGGGAGUCGGAGGAGACUUUCAGGUGCCCGUAGAAAGAUUUCUGGUGUGUUUACAGGCUUGAGAAUAUCGACGUAAUAGAAGCUAACGAUCUCGGUAUUGUUUUCCUUUCUAUUCUAUUUUUGAACAUCCGUUUUUUUUAGAGCUGAAAAUAAAUGAAUGUCUUCGAGGCUGGUUAUGGUUUCGAUUGGUUUUUCAUUUUUCUUUUUUUUUUUUUUCUUUAUUAUUGACAUGGGGUAUGGGGUGGGAUGUUACAUGGACGUAUGAUGGAAUGCACGUUAUAAAGAUCGAUAGUAAACUAACAAACUUAAAAAUUAAAUACAUAUAUAUAUAUUUAUAUAUAUAUCGACCAAAUUUUUCUUUUCUUCAUAUAUCGAAAAUAAUAAAAAAUUGUAUGACGGUGUAAUUCUCCUUUCUUGUCAACCUUCGCAUCUACAUUUAAAAAACGCUCUCCUAUUUUAACGGUAAAUCGUCAAAAAUACGACGAUGUUGUGUAACUUUCGUAGAAAAAAAAAACCAUAGCCUAAAAAACGCUGUCGCCGUUCACCA